AAGGCGGGGGCUAAACAUGCAGUCGAGCGGCUGCGGGGAGGUUGCUUGUUACUUUUGCGGGGGAGGGGGGGAAGAAGGAGAAAUGUCUGGGAGAUAGCGGGUCGAGGGGUACCUAAGGUGCACACGACCGGUAAUACCGCAACCGCCCUACGGGGGAGAGCUUGGGACCUUGGGCUCUUGCACGAUUGUAUGUCCCCAUGGGGAAUUAGCUUGUUGGUGACUCACCGGCGCGACGAGGCGAAAAUCCCUAGCUGGGAUGAUAAGAUGAUCUGCCACUGUGGCACUGACACGACUCCCACACUCCUACGGGAGGGGGCAUAGGGGAAUAUGGCACUGUGCCUGAACCCCUGAUGCCGCCAUGGCGCGGGAGGGAAUAAGGUUUUCGGGUUGUUUAACUUUUUCGGAAAGGAAGAAAGGUUGAUACCUGAUGUUUUGACGUUGUCACGAUACUCACAAAAGACGCACUCUGUGCCUCCGUGCCCGGUAAUACGGUAAUAGCGAGGGUGCAUCCGAAUUACUGAAUUACUGGGCCUCGUGCGCACUUUGUUAAUUUGAAUGUGAAAAUGUGAAAGCCCCGCUCUCAACCUGGAUCAUUGCCUGGAAAACUGUCAAUAUAGAAUAUUGUGGAGGAAUUUCCUGUUUCGCGUGUAACUGUGAAAUGUAUAGAGAUAUGGAAGAAUACGAAGUGCGAAACCUGCACCCCUACAGAAACACUGACUCUCAAGUGCUGAAGAGUGGCAGGAUACAAGAUUAGAUACCUGAUACCCCACACCAUGUCCACUAUCCAUUGGAAUCCCUGUGUCUUUGAGACGUGGUCUUCACGAGCUAACGCGUACAGUCUGCCGCCUAGGGCCUAAGGCCUAAACUUAAAUCUCAUAUCGAUGUGACCGGGCCCCCGCACGACCAUGGAGUUUGAUUUCUAAUCUUCGACGCACACGUAAAAACGUCUUUGCACGUAAACAAGUCUUCCAUACAUGGAAUAGAUGCCGUCGGGCAUUCGAACAUCAGAAGCUGCGUGGCUUGCAUGCCUGCUCGUCGUCCUUGAGAUGGUGGAGAUUAGUUCUAAAUCCCGCCCCAACCUUCGACCCUCUAGUGUCCUUUGCUUCCUAUCAGUAAGUAGCUCGGAAGCCUACCUGCCAAGAUGGCAGAGCCGAUUAAACACGGGAGUGGAAAGUGAGAGCCUAUAAGCCUUCCCAAGGUCCCUUAGGCGCCCCUA
This 1216-nucleotide ribosomal RNA is filed under the name Parasegetibacter sp. SYC35. Its description in RNAcentral is "partial 16S ribosomal RNA". The stretch from base 1 to 847 matches the Rfam family "Bacterial small subunit ribosomal RNA", at positions 36 to 873 of the family's 1533-position model. Lineage: Bacteria; Pseudomonadati; Bacteroidota; Chitinophagia; Chitinophagales; Chitinophagaceae. The record is from RNAcentral.